CCUACGGGUGGCUGCAGUGAGGAAUAUUGGUCAAUGGGCGUAAGCCUGAACCAGCCAAGCCGCGUGAGGGAUGAAGGUUCUAUGGAUCGUAAACCUCUUUUAUAAGGGAAUAAAGUGCGGGACGUGUCCCGUUUUGUAUGUACCUUAUGAAUAAGGAUCGGCUAACUCCGUGCCAGUAGCCGCGGUAAUACGGAGGUUCCGAGCGUUAUCCGGAUUUAUUGGGUUUAAGGGGUGCGUAGGCGGCCUUUUAAGUCAGCGGUGAAAGGCGGUGGCUCAACCAUAGAAUUGCCGUUGAAACUGGGAGGCUUGAGUAUGGUUGAGGCAAGCGGAAUGCGUGGUGUAGCGGUGAAAUGCGUAGAUAUCACGCGGAACACCGGUGGCGAAGGCGGCCUGCCAGGCCAUAACUGACGCUGAUGCACGAAAGCGUGGGGAGCAAACAGGAUUAGAUACCCUUGUAGUC
Molecule: ribosomal RNA, 460 nt
Filed under: uncultured bacterium
Lineage: Bacteria
Description: partial 16S ribosomal RNA
Rfam family: Bacterial small subunit ribosomal RNA
Source: RNAcentral